RNAcentral lists this ribosomal RNA (505 nucleotides) under Cervidellus vexilliger. Its description in RNAcentral is "SSU rRNA". It matches the Rfam family "Eukaryotic small subunit ribosomal RNA", at positions 88 to 590 of the family's 1831-position model. The record is from RNAcentral. Lineage: Eukaryota; Metazoa; Nematoda; Chromadorea; Rhabditida; Cephalobidae.
CGCGAAUGGCUCAUUAUAACAGCUAUAAUUUACUUGAUCUUGACACAAUCCUACUUGGAUAACUGUGGUAAUUCUAGAGCUAAUACAUGCAUUAAAGCUCUGACCUCACGGGAAGAGUGCAUUUAUUAGAACAAAACCAAGCGGCUUCGGCUGUUUCUGGUUGACUCAUAGUAACUGAGCUGAUCGCAUGGUCUUGCACCGGCGACGUGUCUUUCAAGUGUCUGCCGUAUCAACUUUCGAUGGUAGUGUAUCUGACUACCAUGGUGAUCACGCGUAACGGAGAAUAAGGGUUCGGCUCCGGAGAGUUCGCCUGAGAAAUCGCGAACACAUCUAAGGAAGGCAGCAGGCGCGAAAAUUACCCACUCUCAGCACGAGGAGGUAGUGACGAAAAAUAACGAGACCGUUCUCUUAUGAGGCCGGUCAUCGGAAUGGGUACAAUUUAAACCCUUUAACGAGUAUCUAUGAGAGGGCAAGUCUGGUGCCAGCAGCCGCGGUAAUUCCAGCU